GAUCAUGGCUCAGAUUGAACGCUGGCGGCAGGCCUAACACAUGCAAGUCUAACGGUAACAGGGAUCAGCUUGCUGAUUCGCUGACGAGUGGCGGACGGGUGAGUAAUGUCUGGGAAACUGCCUGAUGGAGGGGGAUAACUACUGGAAACGGUAGCUAAUACCGCAUAACGUCGCAAGACCAAAGAGGGGGGACCUUCGGGCCUCUUGCCAUCGGAUGUGCCCAGAUGGGAUUAG
This 234-nucleotide ribosomal RNA is filed under the name uncultured bacterium. Its description in RNAcentral is "partial 16S ribosomal RNA". It matches the Rfam family "Bacterial small subunit ribosomal RNA", at positions 15 to 244 of the family's 1533-position model. The record is from RNAcentral.